Molecule: ribosomal RNA, 329 nt
Filed under: Swolnpes sp. MYG415
Lineage: Eukaryota; Metazoa; Arthropoda; Arachnida; Araneae; Anamidae
Description: partial 12S ribosomal RNA
Source: RNAcentral
CUUAACAACUAAAAGGUAAUACCAUAGAAGAAACCUAUGCUUUUUGGCGGCCUUUUUCCUAAUCAAAGGAACUUGUUUUCAAUCGAAAUUACCCGUUAAAUUUUACUUUCUAUAUAAGCCUUUAUACCGUCGUCUUUAGAAUAAUUUUCAACAAAAUGAUCAAAAACGAUCCCCUCCCCAAAAAAGCCAGAUCAAGGUGAAGCAAAUUAGAAAGAAAAAAUGAGUUAUUCAUAAAAAUUAUUUAAAGAUUCAACUUAAAACAAAGAUAAAUUAAGAUUUGAAAGUACCUAAAGAUUAAUAUUCCUUAGAAAAAAAGUAAAAAAAGGUGU